Molecule: transfer RNA, 71 nt
Filed under: Marmota monax (woodchuck)
Lineage: Eukaryota; Metazoa; Chordata; Mammalia; Rodentia; Sciuridae
Description: tRNA.Asp
Source: RNAcentral
GGGGUUGUGGCUCAGAGUAGAGUGCUCACCUAUCAUGAGUGAGGCACUGGGUUCAAUCCUCAGCAUCACAU